CAGUAGCCGCGGUAAUACGUAGGUGGCAAGCGUUGUCCGGAAUUAUUGGACGUAAAGGGCUCGCAGGCGGUUUCUUAAGUCUGAUGUGAAAGCCCCCGGCUCAACCGGGGAGGGUCAUUGGAAACUGGGAAACUUGAGUGCAGAAGAGGAGAGUGGAAUUCCACGUGUAGCGGUGAAAUGCGUAGAGAUGUGGAGGAACACCAGUGGCGAAGGCGACUCUCUGGUCUGUAACUGACGCUGAGGAGCGAAAGCGUGGGGAGCGAACAGGAUUAGAUACCCGGGUAGUCCCUGUCUCUUAUAC
RNAcentral lists this ribosomal RNA (301 nucleotides) under uncultured bacterium. RNAcentral describes it as "partial 16S ribosomal RNA". It matches the Rfam family "Bacterial small subunit ribosomal RNA", at positions 509 to 807 of the family's 1533-position model. The record is from RNAcentral.